Long non-coding RNA from Neltuma alba, 343 nucleotides. RefSeq lists it as uncharacterized. Lineage: Eukaryota; Viridiplantae; Streptophyta; Magnoliopsida; Fabales; Fabaceae. The record is from RefSeq and is a predicted model, not a curated record. The transcript has 2 exons.
GAUUUUAUUGGGGCCACCCACGGAAUAAUAUCCUUAGGUUAGUUGGAAUCGGAACUUGAAUGGAAGAGGCAGAUAAGAUCGUGGACUUGAUUUAUUUGGAGUUCGAAGUUCAACUUUGGGCUAGUUGUUGAGUGCUUGGUUAGGGGAAGCGGAUCGCGCUCCACAUCUACGGGAGAUACCUAUUUUGGAGGCAGCUUCACCUAUUGAUUAUUAGUUGGCCUGCGCCUACGCUGUUUAGUUUAGCGAGUAAACGAUGAAAGCCAAGAUCUCACGAUGAAUUCACGUUUGACUGAACAUCGAUGCAAAAUUUUAAUUUUCAAUUAUUAUUAGUAUGCAUUAUUUA